This 89-nucleotide transfer RNA is filed under the name Treponema sp. RNAcentral's name for it is "tRNA-Ser". It matches the Rfam family "tRNA". Rfam says of the family: Transfer RNA (tRNA) molecules are approximately 80 nucleotides in length. Their secondary structure includes four short double-helical elements and three loops (D, anti-codon, and T loops). RNAcentral also lists the same sequence under 1 other name. Lineage: Bacteria; Pseudomonadati; Spirochaetota; Spirochaetia; Treponematales; Treponemataceae. The record is from RNAcentral.
GGGAAGGUGGCCGAGCUGGCCGAAGGCGCUCCCCUGCUAAGGGAGUAUAGGACAUAAUCCUAUCGCGGGUUCGAAUCCCGCCCUUCCCG